CAGUCGCCGCGGUAAUACGAAGGGGGCUAGCGUUGUUCGGUUUUACUGGGCGUAAAGGGCGCGUAGGCGGACUGAUAAGUCAGGGGUGAAAUCCCAAGGCUCAACCUUGGAACUGCCUUUGAUACUGUUUGUCUUGAGUUCGAGAGAGGUAAGUGGAACUGCGAGUGUAGAGGUGAAAUUCGUAGAUAUUCGCAAGAACACCAGUGGCGAAGGCGGCUUACUGGCUCGAUACUGACGCUGAGGCGCGAAAGCGUGGGGAGCAAACAGGAUUAGAUACCCCAGUAGUCCCUGUCUCUUAUAC
This 301-nucleotide ribosomal RNA is filed under the name uncultured bacterium. Its description in RNAcentral is "partial 16S ribosomal RNA". It matches the Rfam family "Bacterial small subunit ribosomal RNA", at positions 509 to 807 of the family's 1533-position model. The record is from RNAcentral.